UUGGAUCCAGACUUUGAUUCUGGCUCAGGACGAACGCUGGCGGCGCGCCUAACACAUGCAAGUCGAACGAGAGAGAGGGAGCUUGCUUCCUCGAUCGAGUGGCGAACGGGUGAGUAACGCGUGAGGAACCUGCCUCAAAGAGGGGGACAACAGUUGGAAACGACUGCUAAUACCGCAUAAGCCCACGGCUCGGCAUCGAGCAGAGGGAAAAGGAGCAAUCCGCUUUGAGAUGGCCUCGCGUCCGAUUAGCUAGUUGGUGAGGUAACGGCCCACCAAGGCGACGAUCGGUAGCCGGACUGAGAGGUUGAACGGCCACAUUGGGACUGAGACACGGCCCAGACUCCUACGGGAGGCAGCAGUGGGGAAUAUUGCACAAUGGGGGAAACCCUGAUGCAGCGACGCCGCGUGGAGGAAGAAGGUCUUCGGAUUGUAAACUCCUGUUGUUGAGGAAGAUAAUGACGGUACUCAACAAGGAAGUGACGGCUAACUACGUGCCAGCAGCCGCGGUAAAACGUAGGUCACAAGCGUUGUCCGGAAUUACUGGGUGUAAAGGGAGCGCAGGCGGGAGAUCAAGUUGGAAGUGAAAUCCAUGGGCUCAACCCAUGAACUGCUUUCAAAACUGAUUGUCUUGAGUAGUGCAGAGGUAGGCGGAAUUCCCGGUGUAGCGGUGGAAUGCGUAGAUAUCGGGAGGAACACCAGUGGCGAAGGCGGCCUACUGGGCACCAACUGACGCUGAGGCUCGAAAGUGUGGGUAGCAAACAGGAUUAGAUACCCUGGUAGUCCACACCGUAAACGAUGAUUACUAGGUGUUGGAGGAUUGACCCCUUCAGUGCCGCAGUUAACACAAUAAGUAAUCCACCUGGGGAGUACGACCGCAAGGUUGCAACUCAAAGGAAUUGACGGA
Molecule: ribosomal RNA, 904 nt
Filed under: uncultured organism
Description: bacterial SSU rRNA
Rfam family: Bacterial small subunit ribosomal RNA
Source: RNAcentral